RNAcentral lists this ribosomal RNA (899 nucleotides) under uncultured Chloroflexota bacterium. Its description in RNAcentral is "bacterial SSU rRNA". It matches the Rfam family "Bacterial small subunit ribosomal RNA", at positions 95 to 1031 of the family's 1533-position model. Lineage: Bacteria; Bacillati; Chloroflexota. The record is from RNAcentral.
GUGGCGCACGGCUGAGGACACGUGGGUGCCUGCCCAGAGUGGGGGAUACCCGUCGAAAGCGGGAUAAUCCGAUACGGUCUACGGGGGAAAGCCCUACGGGCGCUCUGGGGGGGCCUGCGGCCAUCAGGUUGUUGGUGUGGUAACGGCGCACCAAGCCACUGCGGGUACCCGGUCUGAGAGGACGGCCGGGCAGACUGGGACUGCGACACGGCCCAGACUCCUACGGGAGGCAGCAGCAAGGAAUUUUUCCCAAUGGGCGCAAGCUGGGGGAGCAGCGCCGCGUGGAGGACGACGGCCUUCGGGUUGUAAACUCCUUUCGGGUGGGACGACCACGASGGUACCACCRGAAGCAGCCCCGGCUAACUCUGUGCCAGCAGCCGCGGUAAGACAGAGGGGGCAAGCGUUGUCCGGAGUUACUGGGCGUAAAGGGCSCGGAGGCGGUCUGCGGCGGUCGGCGCUGAAAGCGCCCCGCCUUAACGGGGCGAGGCGUGCCGAUACGCGCAGACUUGGGGGCGAGCAGAGGGUGGUGGAAUUCCGGGUGGAGCGGUGAAAUGCGUARAGAUCCGGAGGAACGUCAGUGGGRAAGCCUGGCCACCUGGGCUCGUCCUGACGSUGCGGCGCGACAGCGUGGGGAGCAAACCGGAUUAGAUACCCGGGUAGUCCACGCCGUAAACGAUGCCAGCUCGGCGUGUGCCACGGUCGUGCGCUGCGUGCCUUAGCUCACGCGAUAAGCUGGCCGCCUGGGGACUACGAGCGCAAGCUUAAAACUCAAAGGAAUUGACGGGGGCCCGCACAAGCAGCGGAGCGUGUGGUUUAAUUCGACGCAACACGAAGAACCUUACCUGGGCUUGACAUGACGCUGCACGCCGUCGAAAGACGGCCGCCUGCGAGGGCCCGUC